UGUUACAGAUGGACUAACUCUGAGGCAGGCUGUUAAUAACUGCCAUAACUGUACCAACUGAAAUAACUGCCUCAGGCUUAUGACAUCACAGAGUACUAUGGCCUUGGUGAGCAUUAAGCCUUGACUUAGCAUUUUGGAUGCUUUCAUCCCAGAAGCUUCAUGUGUUGAAGUGCCUUUACAAUACAAGUCAUGGUGACAUUUUGCAUUCCCUCACUUGCUUGGCAAAGAACCUGACAACAGAUGUGAAUGAAUGAAAAAGAUGUCGAAGGCCUAUUGCCAUUUGCCUUGAAGUACUUGAAAACAAUUGGAACAGAUGGGAAGGGAGCAAGAUCUUCUCCCGAUUGCUGCUCAGCCCUGCAAUUCCAUGCAACCAGGAUUGGGACAGUUUCAAAAACAGAGAAGACAUAAAUGGCACAGGGGCAGAUGCUGUACAUAGUGUUGAAUAAUACACCAAUUGCCUCCAUUCAC
This is a long non-coding RNA of Podarcis raffonei (Aeolian wall lizard), 468 nucleotides long. RefSeq lists it as uncharacterized. The transcript is spliced from 2 exons. The record is from RefSeq and is a predicted model, not a curated record. Lineage: Eukaryota; Metazoa; Chordata; Lepidosauria; Squamata; Lacertidae.